Molecule: ribosomal RNA, 468 nt
Filed under: uncultured bacterium
Lineage: Bacteria
Description: partial 16S ribosomal RNA
Rfam family: Bacterial small subunit ribosomal RNA
Source: RNAcentral
GACGAACGCUGGCGGCGUGCUUAACACAUGCAAGUCGAACGGAAAGGCCCUGCUUUUGUGGGGUGCUCGAGUGGCGAACGGGUGAGUAACACGUGAGUAACCUGCCCUUGACUUUGGGAUAACUUCAGGAAACUGGGGCUAAUACCGGAUAGGAGCUCCUGCUGCAUGGUGGGGGUUGGAAAGUUUCGGCGGUUGGGGAUGGACUCGCGGCUUAUCAGCUUGUUGGUGGGGUAGUGGCUUACCAAGGCUUUGACGGGUAGCCGGCCUGCGAGGGUGACCGGCCACAUUGGGACUGAGAUACGGCCCAGCCUCCUACGGGAGGCAGCAGUGGGGAAUAUUGCACAAUGGGCGGAAGCCUGAUGCAGCAACGCCGCGUGCGGGAUGACGGCCUUCGGGUUGUAAACCGCUUUCGCCUGUGACGAAGCGUGAGUGACGGUAAUGGGUAAAGAAGCACCGGCUAACUACGUG